Molecule: ribosomal RNA, 477 nt
Filed under: uncultured bacterium
Lineage: Bacteria
Description: bacterial SSU rRNA
Rfam family: Bacterial small subunit ribosomal RNA
Source: RNAcentral
UGACAGUACUCCUACGGGGAGGCAGCAGUGGGGGAAUAUUGCACAAUGGGCGCAAGCCUGAUGCAGCCAUGCCGCGUGUGUGAAGAAGGCCUUCGGGUUGUAAAGCACUUUCAGUCGUGAGGAAGGUAGUGUAGUUAAUAGCUGCAUUAUUUGACGUUUAGCGACAGAAGAAGCACCGGCUAACUCCGUGCCAGCAGCCGCGGUAAUACGGAGGGUGCGAGCGUUAAUCGGAAUUACUGGGCGUAAAGCGCAUGCAGGUGGUUUGUUAAGUCAGAUGUGAAAGCCCGGGGCUCAACCUCGGAAUAGCAUUUGAAACUGGCAGACUAGAGUACUGUAGAGGGGGGUAGGAAUUUCAGGUGUAGCGGUGAAAUGCGUAGAGAUCUGAAGGAAUACCGGUGGCGAAGGCGGCCCCCUGGACAGAUACUGACACUCAGAUGCGAAAGCGUGGGGAGCAAACAGGAUUAGAUACCCUGGUAG